CUUUAAAUGUCUUCCUGUGGUUUGUAUCAGCUGGUAAAAUUCUCUGAUAUAGUGUUUUCUCUGGAAAUUUGGUUGGAAUGGUUUAGCAGGAUAAGCCUGACAAUGCCAUGGUGCAAUGCCUUGCUGUGUGCAAGUCUGACGCUUGGUGAUACACUAACUUUCUUGACAAAGAGACUGGCUGAGACAAUUUUAACUCUGUAUGCAUUGGCAUCCGCUGUCAUGAGAGCAAAUUCGUCUUUAGAGCGCACAAAUUUCAGCGACAGGUCGAUUCCAUUAAGUAACAGUUUUUCUUGAAAAAACAGGUCUGCAUGUACUGGUGCAAUCAAUUCAACAAUACUGCUAUUUGCUGUGUAGCCACCUCUGGUCACCAGACCCUGGUUCUCUCCUUCUAUAGAUGUGUCAUUCAUGUGUGAUGAUGUAUCCUUACAGAAUAACCCGGUGCUGAACUGUGUGUCUAAAGUGUCCUUAUUAUAAUUGAUAAGACAUUCUAUCACACCUCUGUAUGGAUAUGUAUUGGAUGAUUGACUAAUGAGCCGGUCUCCCAAAUUAAUAUCGACUUGACUAAAUAUGCUGCAUCCAGGAUAAUUAAUAAAUCCUACAUUAGCAUCCCUAGCCAGGUUUGAGCCAUCAGCGUUUGUGAUUCUCACCCGUGUGUAGAUAUAUGAGUCAUUUAGAUCCAGGUAAUCUUCACCCGACGAUGAGAUGUAAAACUCGAUCGGCCCUCCAUCAGUGAUUGCAGAUACAGAUGCAUAAUGGCCCACAGACAGUUCGAUCGUGGUUACGGCUAAGGUUCCAUCUUUGACUGGGUCCUGAAUUUCCACUUCCGAAUCUGAUUGUGGAAAAGUCCGCCAUAUGCGUGGGUACUGUAUCUCUAUAACAGCGACCUCAUACGGCUGAUCCAAAACAAUAGGUUUUGCUAGCUUUGUUCUAAAAUUAGAUAUCUUAUUACCCGGGUAAACAUGUGCUGAAGCAUUCGAGAAGAGGCUUACAUAGAAGCCUGCAUUGUUGUUCUUUUUAUUCAUGCUUUCUCAGUCUAUGCUCAGUGUUGAAUGAAUGUAUGUAGAGCUGCGUCAUCUGAGUUAAUUACGCCUCAACGAUGUCUUUUUCUGGAAUCCACGAAUUAAAGCUGUUGGGCCAUCCUAGCCAUUUCACUAGCACCUGCUUUUUCCGACCCACUUUUUUUCUAGCCAAUAUGUUUUCAAUUUUAAAUGUUUUGUUUUCAUCAACAACCACACGUUGUAUCUCAGGCUCAUAAAAUGACCCUUUCAAUACCUCUCCUGCUAGAUCCACUAGUCUGUACACUGGGGGCUGUCUCCCUAUACGUUCCUUGACUGUGAAAAUCUCAUCGGUGUAGGUCUGCUCGUAUCCUUUUCGAAACUUUCCUCUCAGUUUUGAUAUUCGUACAGUGUCACCGAUAUUAAAUUUAAAGCGCAGUUCCCUCUGAGGUCUCGUUUUGUACAGCGCGUUAAAGACCGACUUCUCAUUAUGCUUAUUCACCUCUGCCGGAGCCAUUUGGAUAGAUCUGUGAUAAGCAUUGUUAUAUGCUUGUGUGAGAUCUGGUAUGACAUCUACAUAUCUCCGGGAGUUGGCUGAUGUUAAGUACUUCCACAUUCUACCCUUGAAGCUACGAUUGAAUCUCUCGACAAUACUGCAUUUAACCUCGCUAGCUGUUGAGAAAUGCUUGAUAUUAUAUCGCUUCAUUAGCUGUUUAAAGGUUGCAUUAUAAAACUCUUUGCUUUCAUCUAUUUGUAGUUUCACAGGGAUCCUACCCUCACUAAGUAUAUCCUCAAAAGCAGCUGAUACAACAGUCCCUGUGUCAUGGUCCCUGUGCCUCCCCGGCCAGCCCAGUGUGGCCACAAGUGUUUGUUGUUUUUCUCUCACUCUGUCUCUCCUACCUGUCUGCCUGGGCGGAGCUCUGAUUGGGCUCCUGCCCUUGGCCCACGCACCUGCAGCUGAUCUCGAGCGGAUUGCAGUUCUCUGGCUCUUAAGGCUGGGGCUCUGAGCUGUUCGUCGCUGGAAUAUUGAGUAACUCUCGUUUACCUGGAUCAGCCCUUUUGUGACCCCUGGACCCCGUGAGUAGGAGAGUGAGCUGAGCUGCUUGUGUGGAGACUGUUUGGACGAGGAGCAGAGCGAGUGCGAAGAAGUGUGUCUCCCCAGCCAAGUGAUCCCCGGGACCCUGGUGUUUCCCCCCCCUUCACGUGUAUAUAGUGCACCAGUGUGAUUAAUAAAGUGUUGUUGAACUGUGCUACCUCAGUCUGCGCCUGAGUCCGUUCCACUCCCGUGACACCCUGUCUUGUUUGUUAGACAUCUAACCCAUGCGUAUUUUGAGAAUACAUCUAUACAUGUUAGCAGAUAUCUCACAUUAUCAUUAUCUGCCACAUAUUCACACAUGUCAACCAGAUCGGCUUGAAACUGUUUGUCGACCCCUGUCACCAAUACUCUAUUUCUGGGGAAAUGGAUCCUCGCAGGUUUGUGGAGUGUGUAAGUGUCGUCUUGUUCUAAAUAAUGUUUGACCUGAGAUAGUGGAGGUGUUACAUCUGAUGCCUCCCCUGCUGCUAUACGUAGCUUAUUUAAACUGGCCAACCGCGCAGGAUGGGCUGGAUCAUGAUAUAUUUUAUGCAAUGUGCUUUCCAUGAUUUACAAACCACAAAUGACUAAGAUGUUGAUGUUAACAAGUCUUUUUAUUUAAUUUUCACAAAGACACAAUCACAGACAAUGGAUACUUGAACAGCACACAAUAAUAGGUUUUGUUUUACUUACCGUUUACGAUGGCCAUGCUAUAAAGAACGAUGUUAGUGUUGAUGAUCGCAAAGAAAAUGGUGUGCUCUGCAGC
Molecule: long non-coding RNA, 2833 nt
Organism: Astatotilapia calliptera (eastern happy)
Lineage: Eukaryota; Metazoa; Chordata; Actinopteri; Cichliformes; Cichlidae
Source: Ensembl